ACGAGCCAAUCUCCUUCCCUCUCAUUCAAAACAAAAAAGAGGGGUUUUAUGAAAUAUCUAACCCUAACCGACUGCAAACCAGCCGCCCUCGCAACUCCCUGAAGGCUAGCUUCCAUCGAGUUUUCCAGCCAAGGAUGGAGGUGGAGAUCUGCUCUCAACGACGGCUGAGGAUAACGCCGGAAAACAGACGCGAUUAAAAGUGGCGAUCAAGGCAGCGAUUUUCAGCCGCAAUCGUCGGCCAGGAAACGCGAUCCAAGCUAGAAUAUGGCAGCCAAUGCCAAAUUCGAACAAUGGACAGGCAUCCAUGGGAGUUAUUUAUUCAUUUUGAGCUUGAUUUGAACAACAACCGCUUUGAUACCUAGUAGAUCCCGGCACCGGAAAGGAGAAACAUAUGGGAGACUAUGAUAUGCGGCAGAGGCUCUUCUACAUGCGGUACAGCAGCUAAUCCGAUUUCCCACCAGCCAU
Molecule: long non-coding RNA, 465 nt
Organism: Magnolia sinica
Lineage: Eukaryota; Viridiplantae; Streptophyta; Magnoliopsida; Magnoliales; Magnoliaceae
Exons: 3
Source: RefSeq, a predicted model, not a curated record